RNAcentral lists this long non-coding RNA (219 nucleotides) under Zea mays. RNAcentral describes it as "drought responsive lncRNA". The record is from RNAcentral. Lineage: Eukaryota; Viridiplantae; Streptophyta; Magnoliopsida; Poales; Poaceae.
ACCCCUUAUAAAAGUUUACAACAAUGACUCAGACCCUUAUGGACUAAAAGGUCAUUCUAUCUUUAAGUCGGUUCGAUACUUCAUCUUCGGAUAUGUUAUAACGCCGAAGCUUCACGAGUGGUAGCUUCGGUCAUCAUGUAUAAGCAGCUUUAGCCGAAGCUAUUUCCUCCUGCAGGACCUUCGGCGACGAAGCAUGGUCCCAACAACAUCCAAAUUUCC